RNAcentral lists this non-coding RNA (27 nucleotides) under Homo sapiens (human). Lineage: Eukaryota; Metazoa; Chordata; Mammalia; Primates; Hominidae. The record is from RNAcentral.
UGCCCACAAAAGCCUGCCAGAAGGUAC